AUUGAACGCUGGCGGCAUGCCUUACACAUGCAAGUCGAACGGCAGCACGGGGGCAACCCUGGUGGCGAGUGGCGAACGGGUGAGAAUGCAUCGGGACGUGCCCAGUAGUGGGGGAUAGCCCGGCGAAAGCCGGAUUAAUACCGCAUACGACCUUGGGGUGAAAGUGGGGGAUCGCAAGACCUCGCGCUGUUGGAGCGGCCGAUGCCAGAUUAGGUUGUUGGUGGGGUAAAGGCCUACCAAGCCGACGAUCUGUAGCUGGUCUGAGAGGACGACCAGCCACACUGGGACUGAGACACGGCCCAGACUCCUACGGGAGGCAGCAGUGGGGAAUUUUGGACAAUGGGCGCAAGCCUGAUCCAGCCAUGCCGCGUGCGGGAAGAAGGCCUUCGGGUUGUAAACCGCUUUUGUCGGGGAAGAAACGCUCUGGGCUAAUAUCCCAGCGUAAUGACGGUACCCGAAGAAUAAGCACCGGCUAACUACGUGCCAGCCGCCGCUGUAA
This 499-nucleotide ribosomal RNA is filed under the name uncultured bacterium. Its description in RNAcentral is "partial 16S ribosomal RNA". It matches the Rfam family "Bacterial small subunit ribosomal RNA", at positions 29 to 523 of the family's 1533-position model. The record is from RNAcentral.